RNAcentral lists this ribosomal RNA (239 nucleotides) under uncultured bacterium. RNAcentral's name for it is "partial 16S ribosomal RNA". It matches the Rfam family "Bacterial small subunit ribosomal RNA", at positions 97 to 339 of the family's 1533-position model. The record is from RNAcentral.
GGCGGACGGGUGAGUAAUGCUUGGGAAUCUACCUAGUAGUGGGGGAUAACGUGUGGAAACGCACGCUAAUACCGCAUACGCCCUACGGGGGAAAGGAGGGGAUCUUCGGACCUUUCGCUAUGAGAUGAGCCUGCGUUAGAUUAGCUAGUUGGUAGGGUAAAGGCCUACCAAGGCGACGAUCCGUAGCUGGUCUGAGAGGAUGAUCAGCCACACUGGGACUGAGACACGGCCCAGACUCC